Molecule: long non-coding RNA, 353 nt
Organism: Passer domesticus (house sparrow)
Lineage: Eukaryota; Metazoa; Chordata; Aves; Passeriformes; Passeridae
Exons: 3
Source: RefSeq, a predicted model, not a curated record
GAGACAGAAUGGCUAAAUGUGCUCUGAGCAUGCCUCAUCGGCUUCUGCAACUACCUCGAGUUUUGCAGCCAGAAAAAAACCUCCCAACCUUAUGGCUGACAUUAGAAUUUGCUAUGCCUGAUGAGUAAUAAAGAGCCUUUCUCAGAAGAAGAAAGGGUUCUGGGCUGUUCUCAGCAUGGGGAAGUUUGAAUUCAGAGGUUUUGGGAGUGCAAAUAAGGGGAACUGCAUUUAAGGGCUUCUGUUCCACAGGAUACAAUAUUUGAAGGUUGAGUACCUGAUAACAUCACAGGGUAGAAGACACACAGAGAGUUUCCGUGACCUUAUCCCCUGUGUGAUCUUGUCCAGUGUGACGG